Molecule: ribosomal RNA, 500 nt
Filed under: uncultured bacterium
Lineage: Bacteria
Description: partial 16S ribosomal RNA
Rfam family: Bacterial small subunit ribosomal RNA
Source: RNAcentral
AUUGAACGCUGGCGGCAUGCCUUACACAUGCAAGUCGAACGGCAGCACGGGAGCAAUCCUGGUGGCGAGUGGCGAACGGGUGAGUAAAGUAUCGGAACGUGCCCAGUCGUGGGGGAUAACGUAGCGAAAGUUACGCUAAUACCGCAUACGAUCUAUGGAUGAAAGCGGGGGAUCGCAAGACCUCGCGCAAUUGGAGCGGCCGAUAUCAGAUUAGGUAGUUGGUGGGGUAAAGGCUCACCAAGCCGACGAUCUGUAGCUGGUCUGAGAGGACGACCAGCCACACUGGGACUGAGACACGGACCAGACUCCUACGGGAGGCAGCAGUGGGGAAUUUUGGACAAUGGACGCAAGUCUGAUCCAGCCAUGCCGCGUGCGGGAAGAAGGCCUUCGGGUUGUAAACCGCUUUUGUCAGGGAAGAAAAGGCUCCUUCUAAUAUAGGGGGCUCAUGACGGUACCUGAAGAAUAAGCACCGGCUAACUACGUGCCAGCAGCCGCCGUAA